AAAAACCAGCAACAGGUUCUGAUGAUCCAUCUGCUGGUCUCAGUGGAAAAACACCCAAAACUCAUCUGUCAUCUGAAGCUUCUGGUUUUAGGAUUGUGAUGUUGGGGAAAAAUGAGGAAAAAAAGACCAAACUUGGUAACUUGAUUAUUGGAGUGGAAGAAUUUCACCAACAAAUGUUUUCCCAAACCAAACAAAUUUUUUCCCAAACCAAACAAAAGGUUCCCCAAAGCAAACACAGUGUGGCCUCCAGUGGAGAGUGGAAAGGAAAACCAGUAACAGUGAUAAAAACUCCUGACAUGUUCAGUCUGACUGAGGAGAAAAUCCAGAGAGAAGUGAAGAAAUGUGUGAGUCUCUGUUAUCCUGGACCAAAUGUUCUGCUGCUGCUGGUGAUGAAACCUUCAGACUUUAAAGAAAAAAACAGAGAAACUCUGAAGUUCAUCCUGAGUUUGUUUGAUCAAGAUGCCUUCAGACACUCAAUGGUCAUUUUAACAAACAACAGUGAAAAAAGUUCCUCUGUCAGUGACCUGAUCAGGAUGGUUCAGGAAAGAUGCUACAACAUGAAU
Molecule: long non-coding RNA, 563 nt
Organism: Gambusia affinis (western mosquitofish)
Lineage: Eukaryota; Metazoa; Chordata; Actinopteri; Cyprinodontiformes; Poeciliidae
Exons: 3
Source: RefSeq, a predicted model, not a curated record